Long non-coding RNA from Penaeus monodon (black tiger shrimp), 796 nucleotides. RefSeq lists it as uncharacterized. The transcript is spliced from 3 exons. The record is from RefSeq and is a predicted model, not a curated record. NCBI's taxonomy places the organism in Eukaryota, Metazoa, Arthropoda, Malacostraca, Decapoda, Penaeidae.
CAUCUAUUCUUUUAUUUUACGUUUUUAUUACUUCUUUUUUAUUCUACUAAGACACGAUUUGGUGCAAUAAAAUUUACUAAUUCGAAUUCACCCUUUUCCCUUUUUCCUUUUUUAUCAGGUUCCUCUCGUUCUUCGUGGAGACGCCCCACCCAGCGCUCGGGCACAGGUCGGGCAUCCAUCUCUAACCGCUGUGACCCGCGGAGACGCCCAUGACGCUGAGGCAGCCACUGAGAGCGAUGAGGAGGCACAUGAAUCGUCUGCCGAGAAAGAGGAUUCACAGCAUAAUGCAUAGGUCAGUCACCAUUAAAAACAGCUUCGUGGCAAUGCCCUUACAGGGCAUUGCCACGAGAGUGCCCUAAGCGUUUUGCUUAUCAACGCUGCAGCAUUUCAACACAAACAAACAAAAAUGUAUAAAUGAUAGCCCAACUAUAUUUUCCUGUUUUUCGUUAACUUAUGAUUGUGUCUGUCGUUUGAAGAAAUACACUGUUACCUCGAACACGACUGGCUUGUGAAUGAACUGACUUCCUUCGUUCACUCGAACACUUUUCCACAGCAUGUCUGUUUGUUGUCUGUUUUUACACGUUAUUUCAUUUCAUCUGUGGAAUAUUCCCGCCUAGAUCUGCCUGUUUUCUUUUAGUAUUAUUUGUGUAUUUCCUUUGUAUUAAUUUUUCACGGUUACUCGUGAUAUGUAAUUAACAAUGAGCAUCUAUUUGAUCAUUAUGAAUCUUUAACUGUGAAUUUUAUUGGUUGAUUAAUCUGUAAAAAAAAGAAAUCUAAAUAAAGACCAGAUGUGUAG